This 429-nucleotide ribosomal RNA is filed under the name bacterium. RNAcentral's name for it is "partial 16S ribosomal RNA". It matches the Rfam family "Bacterial small subunit ribosomal RNA", at positions 355 to 776 of the family's 1533-position model. The record is from RNAcentral.
UAGGGAAUCUUCCACAAUGGACGCAAGUCUGAUGGAGCAACGCCGCGUGAGUGAAGAAGGUUUUCGGAUCGUAAAGCUCUGUUGUUGGUGAAGAAGUAUAGAGGCAGUAACUGUUCUUUAUUUGACGGUAAUCAACCAGAAAGUCACUGCUAACUACGUGCCAGCAGCCGCGGUAAUACGUAGGUGGCAAGCGUUGUCCGGAUUUAUUGGGCGUAAAGCGAGCGCAGGCGGAAUGAUAAGUCUGAUGUGAAAGCCCACGGCUCAACCGUGGAACUGCAUCGGAAACUGUCAUUCUUGAGUGCAGAAGAGGAGGGUGGAAUUCCAUGUGUAGCGGUGGAAUGCGUAGAUAUAUGGAAGAAAACCAGUGGCGAAGGCGGCUCUCUGGUCUGCAACUGACGCUGAGGCUCGAAAGCAUGGGUAGCGAACAGG